RNAcentral lists this ribosomal RNA (301 nucleotides) under uncultured bacterium. Its description in RNAcentral is "partial 16S ribosomal RNA". It matches the Rfam family "Bacterial small subunit ribosomal RNA", at positions 509 to 807 of the family's 1533-position model. The record is from RNAcentral.
CAGCCGCCACGGGAAUACAGAGGGUGCAAGCGUUAAUCGGAAUUACUGGGCGUAAAGCGCGCGUAGGUGGUUUGUUAAGUUGGAUGUGAAAUCCCCGGGCUCAACCUGGGAACUGCAUCCAAAACUGGCAAGCUAGAGUAUGGUAGAGGGUGGUGGAAUUUCCUGUGUAGCGGUGAAAUGCGUAGAUAUAGGAAGGAACACCAGUGGCGAUGGCGACCACCUGGACUGAUACUGACACUGAGGUGCGAAAGCGUGGGGAGCAAACAGGAUUAGAUACCCCAGUAGUCCCUGUCUCUUAUAC